GACGAAGGAUGCAAGCGUUAUCCGGAUUCAUUGGGUUUAAAGGGAGCGUAGGUGGCCUUAUAAGUCAGUGGUGAAAUCUCUGGGCUUAACCCAGAAAUUGCCAUUGAUACUGUAGGGCUUGAGUAUAGUUGCCGUUGGCGGAAUAUGACAUGUAGUGGUGAAAUACAUAGAGAUGUCAUAGAACACCGAUUGCGAAGGCAGCUAACGAAACUGUAACUGACACUGAGGCUCGAAAGUGCGGGGAUCAAACAGG
This 253-nucleotide ribosomal RNA is filed under the name uncultured bacterium. Its description in RNAcentral is "partial 16S ribosomal RNA". It matches the Rfam family "Bacterial small subunit ribosomal RNA", at positions 524 to 776 of the family's 1533-position model. The record is from RNAcentral.